RNAcentral lists this ribosomal RNA (116 nucleotides) under Klebsiella pneumoniae. Lineage: Bacteria; Pseudomonadati; Pseudomonadota; Gammaproteobacteria; Enterobacterales; Enterobacteriaceae. The record is from RNAcentral.
CAGGGCGGCACUAGCGCGGUGGUCCCACCUGACCCCAUGCCGAACUCAGAAGUGAAACGCCGUAGCGCCGAUGGUAGUGUGGGGUCUCCCCAUGUGAGAGUAGGGAACUGCCAGGC